AACAAUCCAAAUUUUCCCAACCUCUCCUUAUAGCUAACACACUCCAAUGUAGGCAACAUCCUGGUAAAACUCUUUUGCACCUUUGUCUCCUUUGAUAACCACCUUCAAUGUCCACAAUUCAGUCAAUUUACAUGUCAUCUGCAAACUUACUGACCAUACUACCUAAAUUUUCAACUAUUUGACACCGUUUGUGAUACUUUAGUAGUGCUAUGUUGUUCAAAAUUUGCAAAUAGCUUUUGAGACCAGACAAAAGGAUAAGAUUGUAUUCCACAUCUGCCACUGCAGUAGAAGAUGUGCAAGUAAUUCUGAAUAGAUCAAAGGAAGUUCCAUUGUCGUGAAUCAGAGGGCUUGUAAUUACAAUGUAGCUACAGACAAAAGAAUCUUUACAUUUUGCUGUAACAUUAUUUAAAACCAAGUAGCAUCAUGGGGAGGAAAGUUAAUACUAAGUUGUUUGCUUAGGUUUAGCUCCGACUAUAGCAAACUAUCGACUGGUAUGCAUGAGGACAUUCUUUCACAGAAUCACAGAAUUGUUACACUACAGGAGAACAGCUUCAGCCCAUCACUUCUGUACUCACUCUCAGAGCAUUUUAACUUGCUGUCAAUAUUCUUCCUUUUCCACUUAAUGCUGCCCAUUGUUUCUCUUUAAAUAAUCAUCUAAUACUCUCUUGAAUGCCUCAAUUGAACCUGUUUCUACCAAAUCUUCAGGCAGCGCAUUCUAACUCAUAACUAUAUGCUGUGUGAAUUUCUUUUUCUCAGGUCACAUUUGUAUGUUUUGCAAAACACUUUAGAACUGUGCCCUCUGAUUCUCAAUCAGCUUAUGAGUGGGCAUGGUUUCUCCCUAUAUUGCCCUCAUAAUCUUGAAAACAUCUUUCAAAUAUCCUCUGUGCUUACUCCUCUUCAGGAAAAUCAGUCCCAAUUUCUCCAAUCUUUCCUCAUAACUGAAGUCUCUCAUCCUUGGACUAUUCUUGUAAACCUCUUCUGUGCUGUAUCCAAUAUCUUUCCUAUGUCAUCCUUCCUAUUAUGUGGCAUCCAGAAUUGUACACAAGGGGAGAUCUAACCAGUAUCCGAUAGAAACUCAUAUACUCUUGUCCCUUUGUUGAAACUUUGAAAACUGUGUUCUUUGCACUUUUAAUGACUUAUGCACAUAUGUAUAUAUAUAUAUAUAUAUCCAGGUCUGUCUGUUCCUGCAUACUCAAUAAUAGUACUCUCUAUCUUUAUAUGCUGUCUUCCUGUUCUUUGUAUUAAGGUGUAUCACAUCACUUCUCUGUAUUGAACUUCAUCUGCCACUCAUCCACCCACUCCACCAAUAUUACAAUACUCUUUUUUUUAUUCCACACUAUUCUUUUUACCGUCUACAAUUCUCUGAUUUUGUAUUAUGUGUAAACUUUGAAAUUAUCCCCUGUCCAUCAAGAUCUAUAAAAUUUAUACAUAUCAGGAAAGAGUAUAAUUACCAUCCCCUGGGGAACUCUAAACUUCUUCCAGUCUGAAAAAAAUAAACAUUAACCGCCAGUCUCUCUUUCCUGAUGCUCAACCAAUUUUAUAUCUACAUUGCUACUGUCCCUUUUAUUCCAUGGCCUAUAAUUUUCUCAUGGGUCUGUUGUGUGGCAUUAUAUACAGUGCCUUUGAGAAGUCCAUAUCCACUAUAUUAGCAGCCUUCCCCUCAUCAAUACUCUCUCAUACCUCUGAAAACGUUAUUUUGAUACAACUUUUGUCUGAACAAACCCAUGCAGAUUCUUCUGAAUUAAUCUAUAUUUUUUCAUACCCAUAUGUAUCCCAAAUAAUUGUUUCCAAAGGUUUUCCCAGUACUGAAGUUAAAUUGACUGAUCUAUGAUUUCAGGCCCCAUAUUUACAACUUAUUCUGAGCAAGGGCAUAUUGUCUGCAAUUCUCCAAUUCAUCAGUGCCCCACUGAAUUUAGGAAGAGUGAAAGACAAUUGGUCCUUUUGGUCCCUAAUUGGCCCUUUUACCACCCUUGUUUCUAUUUAUAUGCUUACAAAUGAUUUGGUGAUUUCCCUUUUCAUUAGCCGCCAGUAUUGUUUCAAAAUCCUUCUUUGCUUCUCGUAUUUGAUUUUUCAUCUUCCUUCUGACCCUUCUGUGUUCAGCUUGGUUUUCAACUGUAGUUACCACCUGAUUUCUAAUAUAAACAUGCUAUAGUUCUUUAAUUUUUUUAUCUCAUUUAUCACAGAAGGUUCGCUGGAUUUGUUUGUCCUACAUUUCCCUUUUGAGAGGAUGUACUCCCACUGUGCCCAAAUUGUCUUGACUUUGUUGCUUCGGCUGCUGUUUCUCCCAUUAACCUUUGGACAAAUCAGUGGAGCUAAGAGCUCUGGAGCAGAAGCUGCAAUAUCAUAUUUUUAAAUCCAUGUGUAGCACAAUUUCCCCAAACCUGGACUUUAUUCCUACAUUGUAUGCAGGAAUGAAGGAGCUACAAGGAAGUGGGUAACCUUUAUUCAUUGUCAUAAGAUGCUGACAGACUGAUUGAAUCUGAGGGCUGACUUCCCAGCGUCUGAAUGAUAUAAGCAUUGAUGAGAUAUUUUGCAGAAUUGUGAGAGACCAGCAGUAAGAAAAUUCCCAAUAUGGAAUCUUGAUGGUAACAGUUCCCAACAUGAAUGUCAGAGCAUUACUUGGCAACUUAACUCACUGCAUGUUACCACAACCACCUAUCUUGGACACCAGAUAUCAAUGUCAAAGGUUACACUCAAUGGCAGUGACUGCACACUCACCUCAUCUACCAGGACCUCUAGCUUCUUGUUGGCAGCGCAGAGUAACAAUUUUCUUCUGUCCAACUUGUCUGAUCAGUUGACAGGAACUGCAGGGCAAUUCUAAGCUGUUGGCACUUGUGUGCAGCUGGCAUUUAAAGAUGUGCUAGUGUUAUGAAUCCCAGCAGUGACCAGUACAUUUGCCUGUGAUGAGUGGGAGAAUAUAAUGAGCUCCUCAGUAUUUGUUUUUAAAUGUCGGUUUUAAAAUAAAAUGUAUUUUUUUGAAGUGUUACGGAAAUGGGUAAUAAAAAUAUUCAUGAGGCAAA
This is a long non-coding RNA of Chiloscyllium plagiosum (whitespotted bambooshark), 3020 nucleotides long. RefSeq lists it as uncharacterized. NCBI's taxonomy places the organism in Eukaryota, Metazoa, Chordata, Chondrichthyes, Orectolobiformes, Hemiscylliidae. The record is from RefSeq and is a predicted model, not a curated record.